This is a non-coding RNA of Cordylochernes scorpioides, 73 nucleotides long. Lineage: Eukaryota; Metazoa; Arthropoda; Arachnida; Pseudoscorpiones; Chernetidae. The record is from the annotation of a GenBank genome assembly.
GUCCAGGGAUGGGAAUCGAACCCACAAUGUUCCGCUUACCGGGCAGAUGUCAUGUCAACUAGUCUACCCUGGA